GCAUAUUUUAGGAUUUGAGAACAGUGAAAAUGAUUGGCAACGAUAGAUUGCGAGAUGGUUUGUAUCUGUUCGAUGACGUGUGUGGUCCCUCAAAUCCUAGAGCAAAUCUGGCUUUGUCAGGAAAGAGGGCUAAUGAAGAGAUUAUUCAAUGACAGGAGAUUGGGAUAUCCAUUUUUUUCUGCUCCAGAAAGGUUAUGUUGUAGACAUCUAUUUUUUUUUACUCCAGUAACACAUGAUUUGUAAAAGCAGUGAGUAGUCUUGUGAUGAAAUACCAUUAGAUAAUGAGAAAUCUUAAAAUACUCAGGAGACUUUAGAAUGACAGAAAUAUUAAUUAAUCAAUUUGAUCGAUUUGAUUUUGGUUUGCUAAUUGGGAGCAUAAAA
RNAcentral lists this unclassified non-coding RNA (381 nucleotides) under Hevea brasiliensis (rubber tree). Lineage: Eukaryota; Viridiplantae; Streptophyta; Magnoliopsida; Malpighiales; Euphorbiaceae. The record is from RNAcentral.